This 580-nucleotide ribosomal RNA is filed under the name uncultured bacterium. RNAcentral describes it as "bacterial SSU rRNA". It matches the Rfam family "Bacterial small subunit ribosomal RNA", at positions 102 to 679 of the family's 1533-position model. The record is from RNAcentral.
ACGGGUGGGGAAUACAUCGGAAUCUGCCUAUUUGUGGGGGAUAACGUAGGGAAACUUACGCUAAUACCGCAUACGACCUACGGGUGAAAGCGGAGGACCUUCGGGCUUCGCGCAGAUAGAUGAGCCGAUGUCGGAUUAGCUAGUUGGCGGGGUAAAGGCCCACCAAGGCGACGAUCCGUAGCUGGUCUGAGAGGAUGAUCAGCACACUGGAACUGAGACACGGUCCAGACUCCUACGGGAGGCAGCAGUGGGGAAUAUUGGACAAUGGGCGCAAGCCUGAUCCAGCCAUGCCGCGUGGGUGAAGAAGGCCUUCGGGUUGUAAAGCCCUUUUGUUGGGAAAGAAAAGCAGUCGGUUAAUACCCGGCUGUCAUGACGGUACCCAAAGAAUAAGCACCGGCUAACUUCGUGCCAGCAGCCGCGGUAAUACGAAGGGUGCAAGCGUUACUCGGAAUUACUGGGCGUAAAGCGUGCGUAGGUGGUGGUUUAAGUCAGAUGUGAAAGCCCCGGGCUCAACCUGGGAACUGCAUUUGAUACUGGAUCACUAGAGUGCGGUAGAGGAUAGCGGAAUUCCCGGUGUAGC